Molecule: ribosomal RNA, 253 nt
Filed under: uncultured bacterium
Lineage: Bacteria
Description: partial 16S ribosomal RNA
Rfam family: Bacterial small subunit ribosomal RNA
Source: RNAcentral
UACGUAGGGUGCGAGCGUUGUCCGGAAUUACUGGGCGUAAAGAGCUCGUAGGUGGUUUGUCGCGUUGUUCGUGAAAACUCACGGCUUAACUGUGAGCGUGCGGGCGAUACGGGCAGACUGGAGUACUGCAGGGGAGACUGGAAUUCCUGGUGUAGCGGUGGAAUGCGCAGAUAUCAGGAGGAACACCGGUGGCGAAGGCGGGUCUCGGGGCAGUAACUGACGCUGAGGCACGAAGGCCAGGGGAGCAAACGGG